CCUACGGGAGGCAGCAGUGGGGAAUCUUGCGCAAUGGGCGAAAGCCUGACGCAGCCAUGCCGCGUGAAUGAUGAAGGUCUUAGGAUUGUAAAAUUCUUUCACCGGGGACGAUAAUGACGGUACCCGGAGAAGAAGCCCCGGCUAACUUCGUGCCAGCAGCCGCGGUAAUACGAAGGGGGCUAGCGUUGCUCGGAAUUACUGGGCGUAAAGGGAGCGUAGGCGGAUAGUUUAGUCAGAGGUGAAAGCCCAGGGCUCAACCUUGGAAUUGCCUUUGAUACUGGCUAUCUUGAGUACGGAAGAGGUAUGUGGAACUCCGAGUGUAGAGGUGAAAUUCGUAGAUAUUCGGAAGAACACCAGUGGCGAAGGCGACAUACUGGUCCGUUACUGACGCUGAGGCUCGAAAGCGUGGGGAGCAAACAGGAUUAGAUACCCUGGUAGUCCACGCUGUAAACGAUGAGUGCUAGUUGUCGGCAUGCAUGCAUGUCGGUGACGCAGCUACGCAUUAAGACACUCCGCCGUCGGGGAGGUACGGUCGGCGAAGAAUUAAAACUUAACAAACUAGAAGUUAGUACGGCGUGAGACGUCGCCGACGGACGACCGACCGAGGGGAGGUUAGG
RNAcentral lists this ribosomal RNA (617 nucleotides) under uncultured bacterium. Its description in RNAcentral is "bacterial SSU rRNA". The stretch from base 1 to 517 matches the Rfam family "Bacterial small subunit ribosomal RNA", at positions 338 to 873 of the family's 1533-position model. The record is from RNAcentral.